RNAcentral lists this microRNA precursor (76 nucleotides) under Myotis lucifugus (little brown bat). Its description in RNAcentral is "mir-9229 microRNA precursor family". It matches the Rfam family "mir-9229 microRNA precursor family". Lineage: Eukaryota; Metazoa; Chordata; Mammalia; Chiroptera; Vespertilionidae. The record is from Rfam by way of RNAcentral.
GAGACACCCUUAUGGGACAGGACUUGCUUCAGUGGGGCUUUGGUGCUCACCGAAUCUGCUUCUCGAGUGUGUCCCU